AUGAGAACUCAGGGGAGUUCAGCUCCAGAAGUAGGUGACAGCCUGCUGGAGACUCCGCUGCUGACGGUGCUGGCGUUCAGAAGACACUCGUCAUCCUUUGGGGUAAACGUGUUGCCUGUUUGCGUGUCUUAUUUGGAACACACAGAAAAAGGAGCUGCCUGGCAGCCUGGCUCUCCGCGCCCCGCCCUUGGUCCUCCCGAAGCGGGCGCUGGAUCCGUUUCCCCAUGCUGCUGGAGAGCUGCAGAGAGCCUAGCAGUCAGUGUGCCGCCCCCGUGCAUCCCCCUCGGGUUCAGGAGAAGUCGAUUCUCCCUAAAAUGGAGCCAAGAAGCCGGGUCCCCCCAGAACUGA
Molecule: long non-coding RNA, 348 nt
Filed under: Bos indicus x Bos taurus (hybrid cattle)
Lineage: Eukaryota; Metazoa; Chordata; Mammalia; Artiodactyla; Bovidae
Description: lncRNA (ENSBIXG00000013411.1)
Source: RNAcentral